This is a long non-coding RNA of Hylaeus volcanicus, 569 nucleotides long. RefSeq lists it as uncharacterized. Lineage: Eukaryota; Metazoa; Arthropoda; Insecta; Hymenoptera; Colletidae. The record is from RefSeq and is a predicted model, not a curated record. The transcript is spliced from 2 exons.
AUAAAAUUUGUGAGCUGAAGAUAAUAGAAUGGCGCGAUAUUUUUUCGUUAGAUAUCUUGGAAAAUUUUUCGACGAAACUUUUAAAUACUUUACGACGAGGUCGUUUUUUUCUCUCGAAAGAUAGUUCGUAUUUAAACCAGGAUCGUAAAAAUAUAUUUUGAUAAAUUACAUUAAAAUACACGAUAAAAUAACCUUAUACUGAUGGGCGUAAACUAAUGACAUCAUUAUCAGCUGCUUAUUUUAACAAAGAGGACAUUUAUACUUUAGCUGGAGAAUUAGGGAUGGCAGAAGUUAACUUAUUGAUAAAAAUAAGUCAGAGUACCCAGAAUGGAGGUUAUUACCUUGACUUGUUAGUUCAAAAUAUUGAAACAAUAUAUUAACAAAGGGUUUCGUCCAGAUCAGAAUAGGAAAGCAAUUAUUGCUACAUAUGUAACUGGUGGAGUUCCAUCAAAAUUUUCAUAUGAAGAAUUGACCAGAUUUGAUCCUGAGCAGACCAAGUGUACAAUCUUCAGGGCUUCCACAAUAGGAAAAGGAGUUCAACAUAAUGACAUUCAAAGUUCCUGAUAGAU